RNAcentral lists this ribosomal RNA (611 nucleotides) under Triticum aestivum (bread wheat). Its description in RNAcentral is "partial small subunit ribosomal RNA". Lineage: Eukaryota; Viridiplantae; Streptophyta; Magnoliopsida; Poales; Poaceae. The record is from RNAcentral.
GUCAUAAGCCUCUCUCCCCUCGCCCCACAGCCGAAACCGAAGAACCCGAGAAGCGAAGGCGAGAGAAGGGGACAGCAGCGGGCGAGACAGAGAGAGGCGAGGAGACGACAGCACCGCCGCCAUGAGCGCCCUCAAGUUCUGCAGCAAAUGCGACAACAUGCUGUACCCGCAGGAGGACAAGGAGAUGCACAUCCUCCUCUACGCCUGCUCGAAUUGCCAGCACCAGGAGAUUGCUACUGAUUCUUGUGUGUACAAAAGGGUUCUUCGGAAAUCUGCUGAUGAACCUAAAGACACCCUAAAAGACGCAGCUGCUGAUGCGUCUCUGCCACGCACCAGAAGUGUUAAAUGCUACAACUGUGGCUAUCCAGAAGCUGCUUAUUUCCAGGCCCCGACGAAGGGAGAGGUUGGCCUGACGCUAUACUUCAUCUGCUGCAGCCCUACCUGUGGCCACAGGUGGAGGGACUGACUGACUGACAAGGGGGAACCCUCCACAGAAGGGAGUAUGUUCGUUUGACCUUGAAGAGUUCUUAGGAUGCGGUGGCUGUGCAUCUUCCCUGUUUCAUUACCUAGGCACUUAUCAGAUGCACAUGCCUGUAGUUUGUCAUUCAGAG